CAUGCAAGGUUCGGUUUCUUUUUUUGUAACAUAAGGACGCGGGUCCGUUGGGGUUUCAGGAAGCAGAUGUUCAAAAUGUCAUGCGGCG
Molecule: long non-coding RNA, 88 nt
Organism: Sinocyclocheilus grahami
Lineage: Eukaryota; Metazoa; Chordata; Actinopteri; Cypriniformes; Cyprinidae
Exons: 3
Source: RefSeq, a predicted model, not a curated record